Molecule: ribosomal RNA, 254 nt
Filed under: uncultured bacterium
Lineage: Bacteria
Description: partial 16S ribosomal RNA
Rfam family: Bacterial small subunit ribosomal RNA
Source: RNAcentral
CUAAGUUUGAUGGCGACCGGCGCACGGGUGAGUAACACGUAUCCAACCUGCCGAUGACUCGGGGAUAACCUUUCGAAAGAAAGAUUAAUACCCGAUGGCAUAGUUCUUCCGCAUGGUAGAACUAUUAAAGAAUUUCGGUCAUCGAUGGGGAUGCGUUCCAUUAGGUUGUUGGCGGGGUAACGGCCCACCAAGCCUUCGAUGGAUAGGGGUUCUGAGAGGAAGGUCCCCCACAUUGGAACUGAGACACGGUCCAA